GGCGGCGUGCUUAACACAUGCAAGUCGAGCGGAAAGGCCCUUCGGGGUACUCGAGCGGCGAACGGGUGAGUAACACGUGAGUAACCUGCCCCUGACUCUGGGAUAAGCCUGGGAAACUGGGUCUAAUACCGGAUAUGACAUCUACUCGCAUGGUGUGGUGUGGAAAGUUUUUUCGGUUGGGGAUGGGCUCGCGGCCUAUCAGCUUGUUGGUGGGGUAGUGGCCUACCAAGGCGACGACGGGUAGCCGGCCUGAGAGGGCGACCGGCCACACUGGGACUGAGACACGGCCCAGACUCCUACGGGAGGCAGCAGUGGGGAAUAUUGCGCAAUGGGCGGAAGCCUGACGCAGCGACGCCGCGUGGGGGAUGACGGCCUUCGGGUUGUAAACCUCUUUCAGCAGGGACGAAGUUGACGUGUACCUGUAGAAGAAGCGCCGGCUAACUACGUGCCAGCAGCCGCGGUAAUACGUAGGGCGCGAGCGUUGUCCGGAAUUAUUGGGCGUAAAGAGCUCGUAGGUGGCUUGUCGCGUCUGCCGUGAAAGCCCGUGGCUUAACUACGGGUCUGCGGUGGAUACGGGCAGGCUAGAGGCUGGUAGGGGCAAGCGGAAUUCCUGGUGUAGCGGUGAAAUGCGCAGAUAUCAGGAGGAACACCGGUGGCGAAGGCGGCUUGCUGGGCCAGUUCUGACGCUGAGGAGCGAAAGCGUGGGGAGCGAACAGGAUUAGAUACCCUGGUAGUCCACGCUGUAAACGUUGGGCGCUAGGUGUGGGGGUCUUCCAUGGUCCCUGUGCCGUAGCUAACGCAUUAAGCGCCCCGCCUGGGGAGUACGGCCGC
RNAcentral lists this ribosomal RNA (831 nucleotides) under Planotetraspora sp. IM-6232. RNAcentral's name for it is "bacterial SSU rRNA". It matches the Rfam family "Bacterial small subunit ribosomal RNA", at positions 38 to 889 of the family's 1533-position model. The record is from RNAcentral. Lineage: Bacteria; Bacillati; Actinomycetota; Actinomycetes; Streptosporangiales; Streptosporangiaceae.